UUGGUUUUGGCGGCAGAAUGGCAAGCUCAAAGAGGUACAAAGAGGAGCUUCGCUCAAACAACUCCACAAAGAUGUGGAUCGUUUAUUUUUGGGGGCUUGUGCUAUUGUAAGCUAUCUACAAAUGGGACAUUGCUUUCCACUAUUUUUAUGACCAAUGAGCUCAAGACAUCGACUUUUAUCUGGAGUUCAGGACCUGUCAUUGCACUGUACUCUGCCUCUCAAGCUUAUGCAGACCAACUCGAGCUAAAGGAAGCCAUCAUCUGGUGCUGUGUACAGCAAGCACAUGCUUCGGGCAAGGAGGGAGCCAGCACCAUAUCUACAUCAGCAAGAACAUCGGUGCUCAAAAUAAACAUUUUCUUUGCAAA
This is a non-coding RNA of Dermacentor andersoni, 365 nucleotides long. The record is from RefSeq and is a predicted model, not a curated record. Lineage: Eukaryota; Metazoa; Arthropoda; Arachnida; Ixodida; Ixodidae.